AGCGAACGCUGGCGGCAGGCUUAACACAUGCAAGUCGAGCGGGCAUCUUCGGGUGUCAGCGGCGGACGGGUGAGUAACGCGUGGGAACGUGCCUUCUGGUUCGGAAUAACUCAGGGAAACUUGAGCUAAUACCGGAUACGCCCUUUUGGGGAAAGGUUUACUGCCGGAAGAUCGGCCAGCGUCUGAUUAGCUAGUUGGUGGGGUAACGGCCUACCAAGGCGACGAUCAGUAGCUGGUCUGAGAGGAUGAUCAGCCACACUGGGACUGAGACACGGCCCAGACUCCUACGGGAGGCAGCAGUGGGGAAUAUUGGACAAUGGGGGCAACCCUGAUCCAGCCAUGCCGCGUGAGUGAUGAAGGCCUUAGGGUUGUAAAGCUCUUUUAUCCGGGACGAUAAUGACGGUACCGGAGGAAUAAGCCCCGGCUAANUUCNUGCCAGCCGCCGCCGUAA
Molecule: ribosomal RNA, 451 nt
Filed under: uncultured bacterium
Lineage: Bacteria
Description: partial 16S ribosomal RNA
Rfam family: Bacterial small subunit ribosomal RNA
Source: RNAcentral